AUCCUCUGGGUUGUCUUCAGAUCGGAUAGAUUGUUUGCCUGUUAUUAAAUAUUUCCGUGGGGAGUAACAGUUCGGAGUCUUAACCCAAUUUGUCGGUGGCGGGACGUCC
Molecule: small nuclear RNA, 109 nt
Filed under: Sorex araneus (European shrew)
Lineage: Eukaryota; Metazoa; Chordata; Mammalia; Eulipotyphla; Soricidae
Description: U5 spliceosomal RNA (ENSSARG00000019779.1)
Rfam family: U5 spliceosomal RNA
About the family: U5 RNA is a component of both types of known spliceosome. The precise function of this molecule is unknown, though it is known that the 5' loop is required for splice site selection and p220 binding, and that both the 3' stem-loop and the Sm site are important for Sm protein binding and cap methylation.
Source: RNAcentral